GAUGAACGCUGGCGGCGUGCCUAAUACAUGCAAGUCGAGCGAACGGACGAGAAGCUUGCUUUUCUGAUGUUAGCGGCGGACGGGUGAGUAACACGUGGAUAACCUACCUAUAAGACUGGGAUAACUUCGGGAAACCGGAGCUAAUACCGGAUAAUAUUUUGAACCGCAUGGUUCAAAAGUGAAAGACGGUCUUGCUGUCACUAAUAGAUGGAUCCGCGCUGCAUUAGCUAGUUGGUAAGGUAACGGCUUACCAAGGCAACGAUGCAUAGCCGACCUGAGAGGGGGAUCGGCGACACUGGAACUGAGCCACGGUCCAGAGUACUACGGGAGGCAGCAGUAGGGAAUCUUCCGCAAUGGGCGAAAGCCUGACGGAGCAACGCCGCGUGAGUGGUGAAGGUCUUCGGUUCGGAAAACUCUGUUAUUAGGGAAGAACAGAUGUGUAAGUAACUGUGCACAUCGUGACGGUACCUAAUCAGAAAGCCACGGCUAACUACGUG
RNAcentral lists this ribosomal RNA (497 nucleotides) under uncultured bacterium. Its description in RNAcentral is "partial 16S ribosomal RNA". It matches the Rfam family "Bacterial small subunit ribosomal RNA", at positions 28 to 507 of the family's 1533-position model. The record is from RNAcentral.